UGACUUUUCAAGUAAUUUAUUUGUAUAUAUCACCAAAUCAUAAAAAGCCAAUGUACUGCCCAGCAAAAAGCAUCCAUAUAUAAAACACCUUAACUCAUUAUCAGUAACACAAGAGUGUAUCACUUAUACUGAACCCAGUCCAGCUUCUAGUAAAGCCAAAGUGACUCCAUUAGCAGAAGGAUUGGACUCAGAAUUUUUAUUUGCCAGGUGUUUACAAAAGGCUAUAUUAAAAUGCUAGUAAAAAGCUUCCCUUUUGAGACUGUAUCAAAACAAUAGUAAACCUCACUCCAGUUCUGGUUUUGUCAAAUUCAGGCAAUUAAAGCUCCAAAUCAGCAGUCGUUACACUGCAAAAGACUAUACAAAUCAAGAGAGAUAAUAUUCAAAACAGACCAGGCUAUACCCUCAGCUUGUGUGGACUGGUGUGGCUCUGGCAUGGCUUACAAAGAAAAGCAAUAUACACCAGCAAAGGAUCUGCCCCCCUACUGCUUUCAAUGGUUAAAAAAAAAAAAAUUAUGAAAAAGUGAUCAGUUUUGUCCCCAAAUACCACUUACAGGGACCUGUUUAUCAACAAAACUCAAUAGUUAAGCUCAACUCAUAAAGCUUUUCCCACAUGGCUAUAAGAAGAGACAGUAGCUAACAAAUACAUAAAUCAGAGGACAUACAUUUCAGAGAGGCUGCACUGCCAUAAACAAGAAAGAUCUGCUUCAGAUCUUUGCAGGUGGUACCACACAAAAAUCCCAAACCUUUUAAAACAAUGGAUUUUAAUGAGCUACUUUCAAAAGCGGCAAGUCUGUGAGAUUUGAGAACAGUGUCUCCUUCCCCACACAAGCCACAAGCUACAUAGGGCAAAUGGCCAGCUGCAGGGUAUCUGGAUCUGCCAACACGGAAAGAAGAGGUUUCCAAAGCAGCCCCUUCAAACCUGGUGGUAAUGCCAGCACCUUUGCAAUAGAUAAUCUGCACAGCUGACACAAGUGGCUCUCUCUGGAAGCAGAGUUUAGGCUAACACAUACUUCAAGGAGGUGCUCUGCAGUUUGUGAAGCCCUAUAAGCAGGCUGCAAGCAAUAGGCACUGCCAUGCUGGGUCCCUUAUAUCGCAGCCUGAAAGCCAAAAUCCCUCAUAGGAAAUGCACUGACACUUCUCCUAACUAGCUGUUUCUGUUCUAGUUUAUGGCACUCUCCAGUCCCCUCAGCAGUCCUUGUCCUCAGUAGGAAGAGAUGUGAGAAAUAAGGCUUGAUCAGCUUGAUAGUGAUAAAACCCUCUGUGAAGGCUGCAGGAAUGUUUUUGGCAAUUGAGGGAUCCAGGGGAAGGAGGUGUCAGUGGAACUGCUGGAGUUUGUUGUUGUUGUUGUUUUGCCUUGUUUAUAAAUCUUCAAAAAUCUCCUAGGAGUGUACUUCAGACCACAAUAUACUGAUUUCUCAAUUGUGUAACUCGGGCUGAAAACCAGCAAUAGUUUUAUUCAGAGUAAUUUUUUAUGUAUUCAGAGUAAUUUUUUAUGUAAUUUUUAUGUAAAAUGAAUAUUUUACCAGAAUUAUUUUGAUACCAUCAGUCUGCACUGGCUGUGGACUCCAAUGUCGUGGUCCUUCCCCUGGAAGGACGCUAUUCAGCACAGAGGCACCAUUUAGCAAAAGGACUGCUUUCAAAUCUAGAAAACUGUGGUUUAAUAAGGAGAUAGCUAGCACCUUUUAAAGUCAAAUGUAGAACACUGUUUUAACAAUGAUGGUUAAAACUGUUGCAGCAGUCUAGAAAAUGGAAUGGGUUAACUGGCGCAAUCAAGAUCCCAUGUGUUGCAGAAAGAUAUGCUGUAUCUCAGAGACAAGCUAUUGGACUUCACAGUGUUAACAUGGAAAAAUAAUAAUUCCCUCUGCUGCAGGAGUGAGAGGGUGAAAAACUCUGGGCUGUGUUAUGUGGGGUAUCAUAAUUUGAUAAUCAUAAGAUGAUUUUCAAAUAUUUCUGUGCCUUAAAAUCCAUGAUUUAACAUAGCACUCCUCUAACUCCACCAGGUUCCUUGAGGGACUGCUGGCACCAGCCUUAGGAACCUUCUAGAGCAGCAUGUCAUCUGAAUCAGGCCUGUCUUAUGUAAAAGGAAGGGUUUGACGUCAUACCCCAACUGAGAACAGGGAAAAUCUGCAACACUUGUUCAUAUUUUUUUUACAUAGGAGCUGCAAUUUUUCUGACAUUCAUAAAUACUCUUCAGACCUGCAUACAAACUGGAGCC
Molecule: long non-coding RNA, 2215 nt
Filed under: Strigops habroptila (Kakapo)
Lineage: Eukaryota; Metazoa; Chordata; Aves; Psittaciformes; Psittacidae
Description: lncRNA (ENSSHBG00005011540.1)
Source: RNAcentral